Molecule: ribosomal RNA, 199 nt
Filed under: Pessonella sp. PRA-29
Lineage: Eukaryota; Discosea; Flabellinia; Vannellidae
Description: partial Bacterial small subunit ribosomal RNA
Rfam family: Bacterial small subunit ribosomal RNA
Source: RNAcentral
GGAGCAUGUGGUUUAAUUCGAUGAUACGCGAGGAACCUUACCAGGGCUUAAAUGUAGUCUGACAGCUUUAGAGAUAGAGUUUUCUUCGGACAGAUUACAAGGUGCUGCAUGGUUGUCGUCAGCUCGUGCCGUGAGGUGUCAGGUUAAGUCCUAUAACGAGCGCAACCCCUGCCGUUAGUUGCCAGCAUGUUAUGAUGGG